Molecule: ribosomal RNA, 253 nt
Filed under: uncultured bacterium
Lineage: Bacteria
Description: partial 16S ribosomal RNA
Rfam family: Bacterial small subunit ribosomal RNA
Source: RNAcentral
UACGUAGGGGGCAAGCGUUGUCCGGAAUCAUUGGGCGUAAAGAGCGUGUAGGCGGCCCGGUAAGUCCGCUGUGAAAGUCGGGGGCUCAACCCUCGGAUGCCGGUGGAUACUGUCGGGCUAGAGUGCGGGAGAGGCGAGUGGAAUUCCUGGUGUAGCGGUGAAAUGCGCAGAUAUCAGGAGGAACACCAAUUGCGAAGGCAGCUCGCUGGAACGUAACUGACGCUGAGACGUGAAAGCGUGGGGAGCAAACAGG